Long non-coding RNA from Macrobrachium nipponense, 559 nucleotides. RefSeq lists it as uncharacterized. NCBI's taxonomy places the organism in Eukaryota, Metazoa, Arthropoda, Malacostraca, Decapoda, Palaemonidae. The record is from RefSeq and is a predicted model, not a curated record. The transcript has 4 exons.
UGUAACGUGUCAUGCUUGUUUGGACUCUUUUCGUUGGUCCAAUUUACCCAUCCGAGCCUUAGUCGUUGCUUUAAAGAUCUGUGAACAAGAGGAGAUCGUUGUUUCGAUAGGAUGCAGUACAUUCAGUUGUGUGAGCUUAUAUAUAACGAAUAAUCCACACCGACACGAACGAUUAUUUUGACAACCGGUCUCGAGGAAACGGCCUAGUCCCAUACGGUAGCACCUAAGCAGGGUGCAGGCGUUGAGAAAAAUGCCAGAGGUUUCCAGGACCCUCACAAAGCAAUGACAGACUGAUGUGUGGAAGGACACAUGCGCGCGCAGUCACAAAACGUUACAGGCUCUUUAGAAUUCCCAAUACGCUCCUUCAGAAGAUAUUUCAAGACUUAUCACAAUUACGUGUCUGAUUUCAACGGAGAAUCUGAUUGGAUGUCAUUGUCUAGAACCGGACAGAAUGAAAUACUCUUCGCUUCGAUGGCUGGUUGUUGCAAGGAAUCUUUUUAUUGUUUGAACCGCGUCUUGGGAGUGGAAGUUCAGUUCUUGGAGUCGAAUAUUCAUAGUU